This 1455-nucleotide ribosomal RNA is filed under the name Arthrobacter sp. SQS2-4. RNAcentral describes it as "bacterial SSU rRNA". It matches the Rfam family "Bacterial small subunit ribosomal RNA". The record is from RNAcentral. Lineage: Bacteria; Bacillati; Actinomycetota; Actinomycetes; Micrococcales; Micrococcaceae.
CAGGAUGAACGCUGGCGGCGUGCUUAACACAUGCAAGUCGAACGAUGAAGCCCAGCUUGCUGGGUGGAUUAGUGGCGAACGGGUGAGUAACACGUGAGUAACCUGCCCCCGACUCUGGGAUAAGCCCGGGAAACUGGGUCUAAUACCGGAUAUGACCUCGCACCGCAUGGUGCGGGGUGGAAAGAUUUAUCGGUGGGGGAUGGACUCGCGGCCUAUCAGCUUGUUGGUGAGGUAAUGGCUCACCAAGGCGACGACGGGUAGCCGGCCUGAGAGGGUGACCGGCCACACUGGGACUGAGACACGGCCCAGACUCCUACGGGAGGCAGCAGUGGGGAAUAUUGCACAAUGGGCGAAAGCCUGAUGCAGCGACGCCGCGUGAGGGAUGACGGCCUUCGGGUUGUAAACCUCUUUCAGUAGGGAAGAAGCGAAAGUGACGGUACCUGCAGAAGAAGCGCCGGCUAACUACGUGCCAGCAGCCGCGGUAAUACGUAGGGCGCAAGCGUUAUCCGGAUUUAUUGGGCGUAAAGAGCUCGUAGGCGGUUUGUCGCGUCUGCCGUGAAAGUCCGAGGCUCAACCUCGGAUCUGCGGUGGGUACGGGCAGACUAGAGUGAUGUAGGGGAGACUGGAAUUCCUGGUGUAGCGGUGAAAUGCGCAGAUAUCAGGAGGAACACCGAUGGCGAAGGCAGGUCUCUGGGCAUUUACUGACGCUGAGGAGCGAAAGCAUGGGGAGCGAACAGGAUUAGAUACCCUGGUAGUCCAUGCCGUAAACGUUGGGCACUAGGUGUGGGGGACAUUCCACGUUUUCCGCGCCGUAGCUAACGCAUUAAGUGCCCCGCCUGGGGAGUACGGCCGCAAGGCUAAAACUCAAAGGAAUUGACGGGGGCCCGCACAAGCGGCGGAGCAUGCGGAUUAAUUCGAUGCAACGCGAAGAACCUUACCAAGGCUUGACAUGUGCCAGACCGCUCCAGAGAUGGGGUUUCCCUUCGGGGCUGGUUCACAGGUGGUGCAUGGUUGUCGUCAGCUCGUGUCGUGAGAUGUUGGGUUAAGUCCCGCAACGAGCGCAACCCUCGUUCCAUGUUGCCAGCACGUAGUGGUGGGGACUCAUGGGAGACUGCCGGGGUCAACUCGGAGGAAGGUGGGGAUGACGUCAAAUCAUCAUGCCCCCAUUAUGGUUCUUGGGCUUCACGCAUGCUACAAUGGCCGGUACAAUGGGUUGCGAUACUGUGAGGUGGAGCUAAUCCCUAAAAGCCGGUCUCAGUUCGGAUUGGGGUCUGCAACUCGACCCCAUGAAGUCGGAGUCGCUAGUAAUCGCAGAUCAGCAACGCUGCGGUGAAUACGUUCCCGGGCCUUGUACACACCGCCCGUCAAGUCACGAAAGUUGGUAACACCCGAAGCCGAUGGCCUAACCACCUUGUGUGGGGGGAGUCGUCGAAGGUGGGACUGGCGAUUGGGACU